AAAUUGAAGAGUUUGAUCAUGGCUCAGAUUGAACGCUGGCGGCAGGCCUAACACAUGCAAGUCGAGCGGCAGCGGAAAGUAGCUUGCUACUUUGCCGGCGAGCGGCGGACGGGUGAGUAAUGUCUGGGAAACUGCCUGAUGGAGGGGGAUAACUACUGGAAACGGUAGCUAAUACCGCAUAA
This 182-nucleotide ribosomal RNA is filed under the name Enterobacter asburiae. Its description in RNAcentral is "partial 16S ribosomal RNA". It matches the Rfam family "Bacterial small subunit ribosomal RNA", at positions 1 to 176 of the family's 1533-position model. Lineage: Bacteria; Pseudomonadati; Pseudomonadota; Gammaproteobacteria; Enterobacterales; Enterobacteriaceae. The record is from RNAcentral. RNAcentral also lists the same sequence under 4 other names.